This 252-nucleotide ribosomal RNA is filed under the name uncultured bacterium. RNAcentral describes it as "partial 16S ribosomal RNA". It matches the Rfam family "Bacterial small subunit ribosomal RNA", at positions 524 to 776 of the family's 1533-position model. The record is from RNAcentral.
UACGUAGGACGCAAGCGUUAUCCGGAUUCACUGGGCGUAAAGAGCGUUGAGGCGGUCCUGUAAGUUGGACGUGAAAGCCCCCGGCCUAACUGGGGGAUGCCGUUCAAUACUGCAGGACUUGAGGGCAGCAGAGGGAGGUGGAAUUCCCGGUGUAGUGGUGAAAUGCGUAGAUAUCGGGAGGAACACCAGUGGCGAAGGCGGCCUCCUGGGCUGCUUCUGACGCUGAAGGCGAAAGCUAGGGGAGCGAACGGG